Medicago truncatula (barrel medic) is the source of this 1578-nucleotide long non-coding RNA. RefSeq lists it as uncharacterized. The record is from RefSeq and is a predicted model, not a curated record. The transcript is spliced from 3 exons. Lineage: Eukaryota; Viridiplantae; Streptophyta; Magnoliopsida; Fabales; Fabaceae.
UUCUACAUACAUACUUCCUCUUAUUCAUUUUCUCUUCCAUUCCACUUCCCUACUUCCUUCGUUAACCUCUCUAUUCCUCACACUUCAUCAAAAAAAUUCUUUGCAACCAUCCAAUUUCAACACCAAAUCAAAUCCCAUGAGUUAAUUAGGAUCUAGACAAAGCUUUUCCCUGAUGGUACAAGAGUUCUUGGAAGAAUUUUGGGUCCUAAGAGGAGAAUAGUACCCACUCUUGGUAAUUACUCAUUGAGAUACAAUGCCGGACGCUUCACAUGCUUCUCCCAGGGUGAUUGGAGAGUUCGCUUAGUCGAUUCGUCAUAACUAUUUUCAAGCAGCUAAGUAGAAAGCAGCUAGUAGACUCAAAGUUCAGCUGUGUCACUCUUUUUGGUAGGCUUCUUUGAUGGAUGUCUCUUUUGUUUAUGUAUAUGUUGAAUCAGAGUAUCUGCAGCUAUUUGGAGUCUAGGAAUGUUUUAUUUGAGAUGUACUAAUAUGUAAAUAUGUCUUUUUGAUACUCUGGAUGAGAAUACAGGUUCAUAAACAGGAUUAAAGUCUUGGAAAAUAUUCAAAAUACAGAGGAUGCUCUGUCGAAAUUUCAGUGGAUAUCAUUUUAAGUCAAAUUGAAAAUUGUUUAAAUUAUAGUUGUCAAGUGUCGUCAAUAGGCUUGCCGGACUAGGAUGUUCUAGUUCGUGCGCCGGUCACGAUCGUGAAUUUUGGGUCGUGACAGCGCGUUUGGGAGAAACAAACAGAAACACGCGCAUCUCAACUGCUGCAACAGCUGUGGCAUGGCAGAAGUAGUGUAGCAGAUGCACCUUUGUGAAGAAAACCUGAUAUGUCGUGCGGAAAAUGCAACAUAGACUCCUAUUUUUCCUUUAAUAAAAACCGAGGUAGGUGUUGAGAUGUGUGUUAGAAACGAGACUCGGAGUUUUGUGCUUGCUAGGACAUAAUGGUUCUCACUCGUUUGUUCCAUGAUACAUCAUUAAUAAAAAAAUAAGUUCAAAGAAUGAAGGAGUUGAUCGUUUUCCAGAAAAUGAAACAGAUUAGUUUUGUCAAGAAUUUUCUUCUCAUUGAUCUAUUUUGGAGGAGUUGAUGUUGUCCAUAACAAACAAUCAUCUCAAUGAUUUCAUUCUCUUUUGUUGUUGGCGCUUCUACUGAAAACAAUCCAUAACAAACAAUAUUAACCAAGCCUUGUAACCUCUAUCUAUACACACACACGCAAGGAAUAACAAUGAGGAAGACAUCAAAGCAAUAUUUGUUCCUAUUUGUUUCUAAGUUUCAAACAAGAAUGCUUUUCAACCAAGUUUUCGUUAGAGGUUUACAAAUUUCUCGUAUUGGUGGUUAGAGAAGGGAUCGCGCCAACAAUAAAUGAUUAUAAACCAACAAUCUAUGUCCUAUUGUACAUGAUUUUAUUAGUAUGUUUUAUUCUUAGUGAAAGAUAUUAGUAGUAUGUUGUAUAUAAUUAGUAUAUUUAUAUUCAUCAGACCCUAGUCCAGUCCAUUUUGUAAAUGCAGUUGUAGAACUUGUUCCUAUGUGCUACAGUGUACAUGCUUAGCAUCAGUUAUAAAGAUAAGAUUUCCCAUGUUA